CGAAUCCGCGCGGGAGAGUUCCGGACCGCACGUCGUGUCCGGACGCCGAAGGAGCAAGACCCUCCCUUGAAUCUCUCAGGCCCCGUACCGCGUGGAUGAG
Molecule: regulatory RNA element, 100 nt
Organism: Streptomyces venezuelae ATCC 10712
Lineage: Bacteria; Bacillati; Actinomycetota; Actinomycetes; Kitasatosporales; Streptomycetaceae
Rfam family: Glycine riboswitch aptamer
About the family: This family represents the bacterial glycine riboswitch.
Source: Rfam